CCCUUAGAUGUCCUGGGCCGCACGCGCGCUACAAUGACUCACUCAGAAAGUUUUUCCUGAUCCGGAAGGAUUCGGGUAAUCUUCAUAGCACGAGUCGUGUUAGGGAUCGAUCUUUGCAAUUAUAGAUCUUGAACGAGGAAUGCCUAGUAAGUGCAGCUCAUCAGGCUGUACUGAUUACGUCCCUGCCCUUUGUACACACCGCCCGUCGCUCCUACCGAUUGAGUGGUCCGGUGAACCUUCUGGAUUAAGCAGCAAUGCUUGAGAAGUUAGGUAAACCUUAUCACUUAGAGGAAGGAGAAGUCGUAACA
This 308-nucleotide ribosomal RNA is filed under the name uncultured eukaryote. RNAcentral's name for it is "partial 18S ribosomal RNA". It matches the Rfam family "Eukaryotic small subunit ribosomal RNA", at positions 1470 to 1796 of the family's 1831-position model. The record is from RNAcentral.